Molecule: ribosomal RNA, 369 nt
Filed under: uncultured phototrophic eukaryote
Lineage: Eukaryota
Description: SSU rRNA
Rfam family: Bacterial small subunit ribosomal RNA
Source: RNAcentral
UACGGGGGAUGCAAGCGUUAUCCGGAAUCAUUGGGCGUAAAGCGCCUGCAGGUUGUUUACUAAGUCUGUUGUUAAAGACUAGGGCUUAACCCUAGAAAAGCAAUGGAAACUUGUAGACUAGAGUAUGGCAGGGGUAGAGGGAAUUUCUAGUGUAGCGGUGAAAUGCGUAGAUAUUAGAAAGAACACCAGUGGCGAAAGCGCUCUACUGGAUCAUUACUGACACUCAGAGGCGAAAGCUAGGGUAGCAAAAGGGAUUAGAUACCCCUGUAGUCCUAGCCGUAAACGAUGGAUACUACAUGUUGCGUUUUUAAUGCAGUAUGGUAGCUAACGCGUUAAGUAUCCCGCCUGGGGAGUACGGUCGCAAGGCUG